GAGUUAUAAAUACCUCCUAUUGUGCAACAGGGAGAGGGAUCGAUUACCAGAAAUAGUAAUACUAGAGAGUUGUGUGUGUGAGCACCUGAGGGCAAACCCACACACCAUUCAUUUCAAAUGUGGUUCAGUCUUAUAUUUGAUUGUAUGAUAAUCGAAAAUAUAUUUAUAAUUGGAUUCUAAUAGCAUAUGGUACGGUAGGUAUAUAUAUUAUAGAUUUAAAACAUUAUUAAUUCUAAUAAUUUGAUAAUUAGCAUAAGUUAAAGUCAGAACUUGUAAAUUUCUCAUAUUAUAAUGGAAAAAUUGUCCACAAAGACAAUUGUCGAUUCUCCCUCCCCCUAAAAAAAACAUGAUGUAGAAGAACGAACCGUCUUUGUAGAUUUCAUACCUUCAGAUGACCGUCCUUGCACCAUUGCGAGUGUUGGUGAGAUAUUUCAGUCAUCAUCAAUAUCUAGAUUCAAGAACGACUAAUUAUCCAUGUCGUAACGAAUCCUGGAUACAUGCAUACAUACAUACAUGCCGACCGAACCGACUCACUAGGGUCGGGAGCCUAUGCGAGUGGCACAUCGUUUGUGAAAUAUGGUGUAUUAGAAUUUACAGGAACGAAUUAUGAUAAUUAAUUAAUAUAUAUAUGCCGCGUUUCCACUGUGGUUGCUUACCGCAGUUGAGGAAUCGCGGAUGAGUUCAGGAACUGCCGAGAUGUAGUUCGGCGACUGCAAUUCCGAAGAUGUAUGUCAGGAAUUGCAGUGACGGAAUCGCGGAAGGCUGCUCACAAUUCCGUCGUAUUUCUGUU
Molecule: long non-coding RNA, 790 nt
Filed under: Zostera marina
Lineage: Eukaryota; Viridiplantae; Streptophyta; Magnoliopsida; Alismatales; Zosteraceae
Description: long non-coding RNA (ZMAR_LNC004416)
Source: RNAcentral